AUGACACGUCGCUCGAGCUUCCGUUAAUUGAUUAUGACGUACUUGUACUGAUUGAGAUUUUAACACGAAGUGAGUGGCGAACGGGUGAGUAACACGUGGGUAACCUGCCCAGAAGUAGGGGAUAACACCUGGAAACAGAUGCUAAUACCGUAUAACAGAGAAAACCGCAUGGUUUUCUUUUAAAAGAUGGCUCUGCUAUCACUUCUGGAUGGACCCGCGGCGUAUUAGCUAGUUGGUGAGGUAAAGGCUCACCAAGGCAGUGAUACGUAGCCGACCUGAGAGGGUAAUCGGCCACAUUGGGACUGAGACACGGCCCAGACUCCUACGGGAGGCAGCAGUAGGGAAUCUUCCACAAUGGACGCAAGUCUGAUGGAGCAACGCCGCGUGAGUGAAGAAGGGUUUCGGCUCGUAAAGCUCUGUUGUUAAAGAAGAACGUGGGUAAGAGUAACUGUUUACCCAGUGACGGUAUUUAACCAGAAAGCCACGGCUAACUACGUGCCAGCAGCCGCGGUAAUACGUAGGUGGCAAGCGUUAUCCGGAUUUAUUGGGCGUAAAGCGAGCGCAGGCGGUCUUUUAAGUCUAAUGUGAAAGCCUUCGGCUCAACCGAAGAAGUGCAUUGGAAACUGGGAGACUUGAGUGCAGAAGAGGACAGUGGAACUCCAUGUGUAGCGGUGAAAUGCGUAGAUAUAUGGAAGAACACCAGUGGCGAAGGCGGCUGUCUGGUCUGCAACUGACGCUGAGGCUCGAAAGCAUGGUAGCGAACAGGAUUAGAUACCCUGGUAGUCCAUGCCGUAAACGAUGAUUACUAAGUGUUGGAGGGUUUCCGCCCUUCAGUGCUGCAGCUAACGCAUUAAGUAAUCCGCCCUGGGAGAGUACGACCGCAAGGUUGAAAACUCAAAGAUUGACGGGGGCCCGCAAAGCCGGUGGAGCCAUGGUGUUUAAUUCGAG
Molecule: ribosomal RNA, 948 nt
Filed under: Pediococcus pentosaceus
Lineage: Bacteria; Bacillati; Bacillota; Bacilli; Lactobacillales; Lactobacillaceae
Description: bacterial SSU rRNA
Rfam family: Bacterial small subunit ribosomal RNA
Source: RNAcentral